Long non-coding RNA from Chinchilla lanigera (long-tailed chinchilla), 751 nucleotides. RefSeq lists it as uncharacterized. The transcript is spliced from 2 exons. Lineage: Eukaryota; Metazoa; Chordata; Mammalia; Rodentia; Chinchillidae. The record is from RefSeq and is a predicted model, not a curated record.
UACACUUAAUUAGUGCCCAUGAAUUUUAAGCUUCCAUUGCUCUAUAUUUUUAUCACUUAUUAUGCUCUAUCAAUUUAUAACAAAGCCCAGUUUUCAGAUUUUCAAAAUGUUCAUAAAACAAAAUGCAAAAAUAAAUUUGAAUCAUAUCUUUAAUAUUUUCUUCCCCACAGAUUCUGUGACCAUGCUUACAGAAGGUUACAAUGACAGCAUUAAUAUAACUACAAGGUUCCAACUACAAGCAUUAACCUAACUACACCAGAAGUAUGGACUUUUCAGUUAAGUACUCCUGGAUACACAAACUAGAGUCAGCUACUGAAGUAAUCUUCAAGAGAGUAUCCUGGUAUAAAAUGUACACUCUUAAAUUAUGGAAAAGUCAUUUUGAGUUUAGUAAGUGGCUAGGGAGAAUCAGUCUUCACAAAGAUGACCUUCAGCUAGUACUAUGUCUGUGAUUAAUGCUACAAAAAAGAUUCUAUUUGACAUAAAGAAAACUGCAUUCAGCCUGCUAAUACAGAUGAGAAACCAAUCAACAUGCAAGUAGUGAUCACACUUGAUCUUAGGCAAAAGGCUGAAAAACAAUAGCUAUCCCACUACGGACUGAAAACUGUACAAAUUGUGAGGUGAAAUAAACCUUUCUUCCCCUAACUUUGGGUGUCCAGCAUAUUGCAAGUAACUAAGGCAGAUGGCAACUAAACAUCUGCAGCUAGAAGUAAAAAAUGAUUAAAAGUGUUAUUAUAAAUAAGAUCUAAAAUUU